AACGGCGGCCGUAACUAUAACGGUCCUAAGGUAGCGAAAUUCCUUGUCAGGUAAGUUCUGACCCGCACGAAAGGCGUAAUGAUUUGGGCACUGUCUCAACAGCCCGCCCGGCGAAAUUGUAGUACCGGUGAAGAUGCCGGUUACCCGCGACAAGACGGAAAGACCCCAUGGAGCUUUACUGUAGCCUAAUAUUGGGUUUCGAUGUUGCAUGCACAGGAUAGAUGGGACACAGGGAAGUGAUCGCUUUGGCGGUCAUGGAGUGGCCGUUGGGAUACCAUCCUUGCGAUAUUGGAAUUCUAACCUGCGCCUUUGAAUCAAGGCGGGGGACAUUGUUAGGUGGGCAGUUUGACUGGGGCGGUCGCCUCCUAAAGAGUAACGGAGGCGUUCAAAGGUUCGCUCAGCUUGAACGGAAAUCAAGCAAAAGAGUGCAAACGCAGAAGCGAGCCUAACUGCGAGACUGACGGGUCGAGCAGUAACGAAAGUUGGAGUUAGUGAUCCGGUGGUAUGUGAGUGGAAAUGCCAUCGCUCAACGGAUAAAAGCUACCCUGGGGAUAACAGGCUGAUCUCCCCCAAGAGUCCACAUCGACGGGGAGGUUUGGCACCUCGAUGUCGGCUCAUCGCAUCCUGGGGCUGAAUUCGGUCCCAAGGGUUUGGCUGUUCGCCAAUUAAAGCGGUACGCGAGCUGGGUUCAGAACGUCGUGAGACAGUUCGGUCCCUAUCUGUCGUGGGCGCAGGAUAUUUGAUGGGAGCUGUUCCUAGUACGAGAGGACCGGAGCGGACGUACCUCUGGCGCACCAGUUGUUCUGCCAAGAGCAUAGCUGGGCAACUAUGUACGGAUCGGAUAAACGCUGAAAGCAUCUAAGCGUGAAGCCGACCCAAAGAUAAGAUAUCCCACUGAUUCAAUCAGGUAAGAUCCCUUGAAGACUACAAGGUUGAUAGGCACAAUGUGUAAGUGGAGUGAUCCAUUCAGCAAGCGUGUACUAAUAGAUCGAGGGCUUGACCAC
Molecule: ribosomal RNA, 1004 nt
Filed under: human gut metagenome
Description: bacterial LSU rRNA
Rfam family: Bacterial large subunit ribosomal RNA
Source: RNAcentral